RNAcentral lists this ribosomal RNA (301 nucleotides) under uncultured bacterium. Its description in RNAcentral is "partial 16S ribosomal RNA". It matches the Rfam family "Bacterial small subunit ribosomal RNA", at positions 509 to 807 of the family's 1533-position model. The record is from RNAcentral.
CAGUCGCCACGGUAAUACGAAGGGGGCUAGCGUUGCUCGGAAUCACUGGGCGUAAAGGGUGCGUAGGCGGGUCUUUAAGUCAGGGGUGAAAUCCUGGAGCUCAACUCCAGAACUGCCUUUGAUACUGAAGAUCUUGAGUUUGGGAGAGGUGAGUGGAACUGCGAGUGUAGAGGCGAAAUUCGUAGAUAUUCGCAAGAACACCAGUGGCGAAGGCGGCUCACUGGCCCGAUACUGACGCUGAGGCACGAAAGCGUGGGGAGCAAACAGGAUUAGAUACCCGAGUAGUCCCUGUCUCUUAUAC